This 253-nucleotide ribosomal RNA is filed under the name uncultured bacterium. RNAcentral describes it as "partial 16S ribosomal RNA". It matches the Rfam family "Bacterial small subunit ribosomal RNA", at positions 524 to 776 of the family's 1533-position model. The record is from RNAcentral.
UACGGAGGAUGCAAGCGUUAUCCGGAAUUAUUGGGCGUAAAGCGUCCGCAGGUGGCAAUGUAAGUCUGCUGUUAAAGAGUCUAGCUCAACUAGAUAAAAGCAGUGGAAACUACAUAGCUAGAGUACGUUCGGGGCAGAGGGAAUUCCUGGUGUAGCGGCGAAAUGCGUAGAGAUCAGGAAGAACACCAGUGGCGAAGGCGCUCUGCUAGGCCGUAACUGACACUGAGGGACGAAAGCUAGGGGAGCGAAUGGG